RNAcentral lists this long non-coding RNA (444 nucleotides) under Physcomitrium patens. RNAcentral's name for it is "long non-coding RNA (PPAT_LNC009532)". Lineage: Eukaryota; Viridiplantae; Streptophyta; Bryopsida; Funariales; Funariaceae. The record is from RNAcentral.
CGUAACUGCUGUGCAGCGCUCCAUGUCUUUUUCUGAAGGAGGAGUUUCAAUCCCUUUGCAUCCGCUGUCUCUUACAGGAGGAGGGAGAUGUCGAGAUUAGGUAAGUAUAGAGCAAUAGAAGAUGUGGAUCAGAGAAGCACCGCUCUGUGUCUGAGGUCGCUGACUCGUGUGCCGGCACUUUUGCCUUGGGAGAUUCCGAUCUUGGUUAGAAAACGCAGCCCCGAUGCACUUGCGACAAUUCGCAGCCAAGCUCGAUAGGACUGUUGCGAUGGGUGAGUUUUUCUCCACCGAUUCGCAAGGGUAUCCGUCUUAGCGGCAUCAGACACGCGACUGGAAGUAUUAUAUUGAAUUGAGAAACAAUGGGAUGUGUGAACAGAAUAAAGUACACCUGCAACGAGUUUGCAUUGCAUCGUAAGCUCUAUUCGCAUGCUAUGAACUUCUAGA